UACAGAGGGGGCAAGCGUUGUUCGGAAUUACUGGGCGUAAAGGGCGCGUAGGCGGCCUGUUAAGUCGAACGUGAAAUCCCCGGGCUCAACCCGGGAACUGCGUCCGAUACUGGCAGGCUUGAAUCCGGGAGAGGGAUGCGGAAUUCCAGGUGUAGCGGUGAAAUGCGUAGAUAUCAAGAGGAACACCUGCGGCGAAGGCGGGUUGCUGGGCCGACACUGACGCUGAGGCGCGAAAGCGUGGGGAGCAAACAGG
Molecule: ribosomal RNA, 253 nt
Filed under: uncultured bacterium
Lineage: Bacteria
Description: partial 16S ribosomal RNA
Rfam family: Bacterial small subunit ribosomal RNA
Source: RNAcentral